AAAGGAAAAUGACAGAAGAAGGGAAGAGUGGAGGAAAGCAAAGCGAAUGUUAGAAAUUUGGGAGAGAGAGAGAACCAAAAUUUUGAAAAAAAUAAAAUAAAAUUAAUUCAAAUAAUAUCUAUCCUAACCUCCCUCUAACCACUAAAUCCCACUAACCCACUAACCACUAUCUCUCAACUCCUUCAAAAAUUCACUUCCACCCAACCUCUAUCUCACAACCGAAACAAAAAUAUCAUCCACGCUUUCACAAGGAAUCAAACACAAGACCUCCAGUAAGCAAACUCCUUACCACUUAAGCCAGCAAGCUCAUUUUAAUAUAAGUUCACUAAAGAUAAAGUAUAACCC
This 345-nucleotide long non-coding RNA is filed under the name Gossypium raimondii (Peruvian cotton). RNAcentral's name for it is "long non-coding RNA (GRAI_LNC000787)". The record is from RNAcentral. Lineage: Eukaryota; Viridiplantae; Streptophyta; Magnoliopsida; Malvales; Malvaceae.